Molecule: small RNA, 163 nt
Filed under: Metalysinibacillus saudimassiliensis
Lineage: Bacteria; Bacillati; Bacillota; Bacilli; Caryophanales; Caryophanaceae
Description: ykoK
Rfam family: M-box riboswitch aptamer (ykoK leader)
About the family: M-box riboswitch, also know as ykoK leader is described as a metaloregulatory RNA that sense divalent metals and function as a genetic control element of genes related to divalent metal transport in bacteria. It was first reported upstream of the B.subtilis ykoK gene and genes with related functions in other bacteria. Phylogenetic analysis of the distribution of M-box RNAs across bacterial genomes revealed that M-box riboswitches are most often employed for the regulation of Mg2+ transporter genes
Source: RNAcentral
GUAAACACUCGUUAGGUGAGGCUCCUAUAUGAAGACAUGCUGCUGCCCAGAAACGUCCAAAGACGCCAAUGGGUCAACAGAAAUCAUCGAGUUAAGGUGAUUUUUAAUGUAGCUGGUAUAUCCUAUGUCAUAUAGUGCUAAAACUCUACGAAGGGGGUUUAUU